This 29-nucleotide non-coding RNA is filed under the name Rattus norvegicus (Norway rat). Lineage: Eukaryota; Metazoa; Chordata; Mammalia; Rodentia; Muridae. The record is from RNAcentral.
UGAAUGUCCGGUAAAUAUCAGACGCUGCC